AUCCAACUGACGAGUCCCAAACGGGAUGAGAUGCGCAUCCUGGAU
RNAcentral lists this non-coding RNA (45 nucleotides) under Trichobilharzia regenti. Lineage: Eukaryota; Metazoa; Platyhelminthes; Trematoda; Strigeidida; Schistosomatidae. The record is from RNAcentral.